RNAcentral lists this ribosomal RNA (509 nucleotides) under bacterium enrichment culture clone ALO1_GLFRUDD03GPEU2. RNAcentral's name for it is "bacterial SSU rRNA". It matches the Rfam family "Bacterial small subunit ribosomal RNA", at positions 9 to 511 of the family's 1533-position model. The record is from RNAcentral.
GAGUUUGAUCUUGGCUCAGAUUGAACGCUGGCGGCAUGCCUUACACAUGCAAGUCGAACGGCAGCACGGGAGCUUGCUCCUGGUGGCGAGUGGCGAACGGGUGAGUAAUGCAUCGGAACGUAUCCUGGAGUGGGGGAUAACGUAGCGAAAGUUACGCUAAUACCGCAUAUUCUGUGAGCAGGAAAGCGGGGGACCUUCGGGCCUCGCGCUCUUGGAGCGGCCGAUGUCGGAUUAGCUAGUUGGUGAGGUAAAGGCUCACCAAGGCGACGAUCCGUAGCAGGUCUGAGAGGAUGAUCUGCCACACUGGAACUGAGACACGGUCCAGACUCCUACGGGAGGCAGCAGUGGGGAAUUUUGGACAAUGGGCGAAAGCCUGAUCCAGCCAUGCCGCGUGUGUGAAGAAGGUCUUCGGAUUGUAAAGCACUUUAAGUUGGGAGGAAGGGCAGUAAGUUAAUACCUUGCUGUUUUGACGUUACCGACAGAAUAAGCACCGGCUAACUCUGUGCCAG